This 299-nucleotide signal recognition particle RNA is filed under the name Cebus imitator (Panamanian white-faced capuchin). RNAcentral's name for it is "Metazoan signal recognition particle RNA (ENSCCAG00000000203.1)". It matches the Rfam family "Metazoan signal recognition particle RNA". Rfam says of the family: The signal recognition particle (SRP) is a universally conserved ribonucleoprotein. The record is from RNAcentral. Lineage: Eukaryota; Metazoa; Chordata; Mammalia; Primates; Cebidae.
GCCAGGCGCGGUGGCACGUCCCUGUAGUCCCAGCUACUCCAGAGGCUGGGGCUGGAGGAUCGCUUGAGCCCAGGAGUUCUGGGCUGUAGUGCGCUAUGUCGAUUGGGUGUCCGUACUAAGUUCAGCAUCAAUAUGGUGACCUCCCAGGAGCGGGGGACCACCAGGUUGCCUAAGGAGGGGUGAACCGGCCCAGGUCAGAAACAGAGCAGGUCAAAACUCCCAUGCUGAUCAGUAGUGGGAUCGCGUCUGUGAAUAGCCACUGUACUCCAGCCUGGGCAACAUAGCGAGACCUCGUCUCU